UUCCCUUCAAGAAGCCUUGGA
This 21-nucleotide unclassified non-coding RNA is filed under the name synthetic construct. The record is from RNAcentral.